GGGGCCGAUUAGGAUUCGACGCCGGUAACGAAACUUGAGGGGCAUGCCGAGUUGGUAACAGAACUCGUAAAUAAACUGUUGCAAACCUAUAGUUGCCAACGACGAC
Molecule: transfer-messenger RNA, 106 nt
Filed under: Stutzerimonas balearica
Lineage: Bacteria; Pseudomonadati; Pseudomonadota; Gammaproteobacteria; Pseudomonadales; Pseudomonadaceae
Description: Pseudomonas balearica (oil production facility metagenome) partial transfer-messenger RNA
Rfam family: transfer-messenger RNA
About the family: Bacterial tmRNA, also known as 10Sa RNA or SsrA, is named for its dual tRNA and mRNA-like properties. Its role is to liberate the mRNA from a stalled ribosome.
Source: RNAcentral